GAUGAACGCUGACAGAAUGCUUAACACAUGCAAGUCAACUUGAACUUCGGUUUGGGUGGCGGACGGGUGAGUAACGCGUAAAGAACUUGCCUCACAGAUAGGGACAACAUUUGGAAACGAAUGCUAAUACCUGAUAUUAUGAUUUUAGGGCAUCCUAGAAUUAUGAAAGCUAUAUGCGCUGUGAGAGAGCUUUGCGUCCCAUUAGCUAGUUGGAGAGGUAACAGCUCACCAAGGCGAUGAUGGGUAGCCGGCCUGAGAGGGUGAUCGGCCACAAGGGGACUGAGACACGGCCCUUACUCCUACGGGAGGCAGCAGUGGGGAAUAUUGGACAAUGGACCAAGAGUCUGAUCCAGCAAUUCUGUGUGCACGAUGAAGUUUUUCGGAAUGUAAAGUGCUUUCAGUUGGGAAGAAAAAAAUGACGGACCAACAGAAGAAG
Molecule: ribosomal RNA, 436 nt
Filed under: Fusobacterium periodonticum
Lineage: Bacteria; Fusobacteriati; Fusobacteriota; Fusobacteriia; Fusobacteriales; Fusobacteriaceae
Description: bacterial SSU rRNA
Rfam family: Bacterial small subunit ribosomal RNA
Source: RNAcentral